Molecule: ribosomal RNA, 279 nt
Filed under: uncultured bacterium
Lineage: Bacteria
Description: partial 16S ribosomal RNA
Rfam family: Bacterial small subunit ribosomal RNA
Source: RNAcentral
UGCCAGCCGCCGCGGUAAUACGGAGGGUGCAAGCGUUAAUCGGAAUUACUGGGCGUAAAGCGCUCGUAGGCGGUUGAUUAAGUCGGAUGUGAAAGCCCAGGGCUUAACCUUGGAACUGCAUUCGAUACUGGUCAGCUAGAGUACAGUAGAGGCAAGUGGAAUUUCCUGUGUAGCGGUGAAAUGCGUAGAUAUAGGAAGGAACAUCAGUGGCGAAGGCGACUUGCUGGACUGAUACUGACGCUGAGGAGCGAAAGCGUGGGUAGCAAACAGGAUUAGAUA